CAAAUGAAUUGACGGGGAGCACCACAACGGGUGGAGCUUGCGGUUAAUUGGAUUCAACGCCGGAAAUCUUACCGGGACGACAGCAAUAUGAAGGCCAGGCUGAAGACUUUGCCGGAUUAGCUGAGAGGUGGUGCAUGGCCGUCGUCAGUUCGUACUGUGAAGCAUCCUGUUAAGUCAGGCAACGAGCGAGACCCACGCCCACAGUUGCCAGCGUACUCUCUGGAGUGACGGGUACACUGUGGGGACCGCCGCUGCUAAAGCGGAGGAAGGAAUGGGCAACGGUAGGUCAGUAUGCCCCGAAUUAUCCGGGCUACACGCGGGCUACAAUGGUCAGGACAAUGGGUAUCGACACCGAGAGGUGGAGGCAAUCUCCUAAACCUGUCCUUAGUUCGGAUUGUGGGCUGCAACUCGCCCACAUGAAGCUGGAAUCCGUAGUAAUCGCGUUUCAAAAUAGCGCGGUGAAUAUGUCCCUGCUCCUU
This 479-nucleotide ribosomal RNA is filed under the name uncultured Methanolinea sp. RNAcentral describes it as "bacterial SSU rRNA". It matches the Rfam family "Archaeal small subunit ribosomal RNA", at positions 857 to 1338 of the family's 1478-position model. Lineage: Archaea; Methanobacteriati; Methanobacteriota; Methanomicrobia; Methanomicrobiales; Methanoregulaceae. The record is from RNAcentral.